RNAcentral lists this ribosomal RNA (354 nucleotides) under uncultured bacterium. RNAcentral's name for it is "bacterial SSU rRNA". It matches the Rfam family "Bacterial small subunit ribosomal RNA", at positions 8 to 350 of the family's 1533-position model. The record is from RNAcentral.
AGAGUUUGAUCCUGGCUCAGGAUGAACGCUAGCUACAGGCUUAACACAUGCAAGUCGAGGGGAAACGAUAUUGGAAGCUUGCUUCCGAUAGGCGUCGACCGGCGCACGGGUGAGUAACGCGUAUCCAACCUGCCCACCACUUGGGGAUAACCUUGCGAAAGUAAGACUAAUACCCAAUGAUAUCUCUAGAAGACAUCUGAAAGAGAUUAAAGAUUUAUCGGUGAUGGAUGGGGAUGCGUCUGAUUAGCUUGUUGGCGGGGUAACGGCCACAAGGCGACGAUCAGGUAGGGGUUCUGAGAGGAACGGUCCCCCACAUUGGAACUGAGACACGGUCCAAACUCCGUACGGGAGGCA